Molecule: ribosomal RNA, 279 nt
Filed under: uncultured Eubacteriales bacterium
Lineage: Bacteria; Bacillati; Bacillota; Clostridia; Eubacteriales
Description: uncultured Clostridiales bacterium partial 16S ribosomal RNA
Rfam family: Bacterial small subunit ribosomal RNA
Source: RNAcentral
AGAACUCUUCGGAGGGAAGAUGUAAAAGACUGAGUGGCGGACGGGUGAGUAACGCGUGGGUAACCUGCCCUAUACAGGGGGACAACAGUUGGAAACGACUGCUAAUACCGCAUAAUGUAUCCGGGAGGCAUCUCCUGGAUACCAAAGGAGAAAUCCGCUGAUGGAUGGGCUCACGUCUGAUUAGAUAGUUGGCGGGGUAACGGCCCACCAAGUCGACGAUCAGUAGCCGGCUUGAGAGAGUGAACGGCCACAUUGGGACUGAGACACGGCCCAAACUCC